CAUUCACGGAGAGUUUGAUCCUGGCUCAGGACGAACGCUGGCGGCGUGCUUAACACAUGCAAGUCGAACGAUGAACCACUUCGGUGGGGAUUAGUGGCGAACGGGUGAGUAACACGUGGGCAAUCUGCCCUUCACUCUGGGACAAGCCCUGGAAACGGGGUCUAAUACCGGAUAACACCUUCCCUCUCCUGAGGGAGGGUUAAAAGCUCCGGCGGUGAAGGAUGAGCCCGCGGCCUAUCAGCUUGUUGGUGAGGUAAUGGCUCACCAAGGCGACGACGGGUAGCCGGCCUGAGAGGGCGACCGGCCACACUGGGACUGAGACACGGCCCAGACUCCUACGGGAGGCAGCAGUGGGGAAUAUUGCACAAUGGGCGAAAGCCUGAUGCAGCGACGCCGCGUGAGGGAUGACGGCCUUCGGGUUGUAAACCUCUUUCAGCAGGGA
Molecule: ribosomal RNA, 442 nt
Filed under: Streptomyces sp. SID10115
Lineage: Bacteria; Bacillati; Actinomycetota; Actinomycetes; Kitasatosporales; Streptomycetaceae
Description: bacterial SSU rRNA
Rfam family: Bacterial small subunit ribosomal RNA
Source: RNAcentral